This 245-nucleotide ribosomal RNA is filed under the name uncultured bacterium. RNAcentral's name for it is "partial 16S ribosomal RNA". It matches the Rfam family "Bacterial small subunit ribosomal RNA", at positions 524 to 768 of the family's 1533-position model. The record is from RNAcentral.
UACAGAGACUGCAAGCGUUGUUCGGAUUCAUUGGGCGUAAAGGGUCCGCAGGCGGUCGGUUAAGUCCGAUGUGAAAUCUCAUAGCCUAACUAUGAGCGGUCAUUGGAAACUAGCCGGCUCGAGGAGUGGAGAGGAGACUGGAAUGGCUGGUGUAGCGGUGAAAUGCGUAGAGAUCAGCCAGAACACCGGUGGCGAAGGCGGGUCUCUGGACACUUCCUGACGCUCAGGGACGAAAGCCAGGGGAG